UACGGGGGGGGGCAAGCGUUGUUCGGAAUUACUGGGCGUAAAGGGCUCGUAGGCGGCCAACUAAGUCGGACGUGAAAUCCCUCGGCUUAACCGGGGAACUGCUUCCGAUACUGGAUGGCUUGAGUGUGGGAGAGGGAUGCGGAAUUCCAGGUGUAGCGGUGAAAUGCGUAGAUAUCUGGAGGAACACCGGUGGCGAAGGCGGCAUCCUGGACCAUUACUGACGCUGAGUGAGCGAAAGCCAGGGGAGCAAACGGG
RNAcentral lists this ribosomal RNA (255 nucleotides) under uncultured bacterium. Its description in RNAcentral is "partial 16S ribosomal RNA". It matches the Rfam family "Bacterial small subunit ribosomal RNA", at positions 524 to 776 of the family's 1533-position model. The record is from RNAcentral.